AUAUGGAUACGCCGCCUCCAAUCCAGUUUUGACGUGCUCUUCUGUAGUAGAGGGAAGAGACUUCAACUGAAAAUAGCAUUUGAAAUGAUUAGGUGCAUAGAUCAGAGCUAUGGCAUGAGGUCCAAAAAAAAAGAAAAACGAAAGUGAGAGUAGUAACCAAAAGAGAUGAGACCGACAUAAAUAAUUUGGAAUUAGCUGUCUCAGAAAUGAUUCGUCUUCAGUAAGAUGCAGUUUUUAAGUGAAUAUGCUUCAGUACAGAAAAUUGUUGUCGUUGAAGAAGCAAUCUGACUACUAAGAGAUGAAAGACAUAAUCAAUAUUUUUGAAUUCCCAUUUCACGAUACCCUAAUUUUGAUUACAUCUACCAACCCAAAUUAAUCACGAUCUACACAAGCUUAAAGAUAGAAUCAUACCUUCAGCAUGUGAUUGGACUAGAAGUGUCAAUUGGGCUGUCCAAAGCCCAUUGGUCAUGUCCACUUGGACCAUUUUUUUCAUGGGUUUUAUUGGUUGGUCUUUAAUGGACAAUGGUCUUAAAAUUUGUCCAAGACCAUUAAAGACCAUUGUCCAAUGGUCAGCCCAUGGCCAGCCCAUACAAUGAUGUUUAUAUACAAUGCAUUUUCACACAAUCUCGUCAAAAGCUCUAUUUAUAAAACCAUAACAUCAACAUGAAAUCAAACAUGCAUGUACCUGUUCUUCCCAGUCUUGUAAUCAACCGUGACAACUCAAACACGCAUCUAAGACUCUCUAUAUGCACCUACAAGUAAAGAAAAAAGCCUACAAUGGCUACAUGGAGAAUGAUUUAACAGAGAAACCCAUUUCAAUACUACUCCAACAUCUAGAAAUUGGAAACCAGAAGUGGCCAUCUUCAAUAAGCUUAGGUAAAACAAUAAGCUUAAACAACAUUUCCACAAUGUAAUCAAUCACAAAUGAUUAUAAGUAAGAGACAAAAUCCAGAAUCAAUUCCAAACCAAAAUCUGUCAUCCAAGUUGCAACCUUAGACCGGAUACCAUCACAACCUAUAGCAAUCUGUCAAAGACAUACAUCAUCAAAUCAGCCAUGUACUGAGAAUAAUAAACACAUAACCAUAGGCUCAGAGCUUAAGAGAACAGCCAUGUACCUGUUUCUUCCCAGUCUUGAAACGUUCAUGCAAGGGUGGUGUUUGUGUCCUCUUGACCUUGGAUCUCAUCAGUUUCUUCAAUAAGAAAAACCGAGCUAUUAAUCUAAAAGCUGCAGUCUAAAAGCCAUAUAAGUUUACUAUUAUAAACGAGUUCAAGAUGUGAAUAUUACCAACUUCUUGAAAUCCACGAAACCAGUUUCUAGUACAUAGGAGGGCUUGCACAUUAGUAGGUAAAAGGCAGCUUCUAUAUUUGUUAAGCACACGACUACCUAUACUAAAAGCUGAUUCCGAUGCCACGGUAGUGAUCGGAAUGCUUAAGAUAUCACAUGCCAUCGAUGACAAUUCUUUAAAACGCGAGACAUUGUUUUCCAAUAUGCAAUAACAUCCAUAUCUCUAAAAGAGACCAUAUCUAACACAGGCUCUUCCAAGUACAUAUCUAAUGGUGAUUUUCCAGUUCCAUUUCUUUCAGAAAAGUAAGAGUAAAACCCCUGAAAUAUGACCAACAAAACAAAAUUCUCACUAAGUAUAAGAAUGCAUUUUCAGAAGCAUUAUGCUUUA
Molecule: small RNA, 1673 nt
Filed under: Arabidopsis thaliana (thale cress)
Lineage: Eukaryota; Viridiplantae; Streptophyta; Magnoliopsida; Brassicales; Brassicaceae
Description: ATSL012450
Source: RNAcentral